GGAGUAGUAACUUAAUGGUUAAGGUGUUGGACUACUGCUCAGAAGGUCAUGAGUUCAAACCCCAGCCCUGCCA
This is a non-coding RNA of Ameiurus melas (black bullhead), 73 nucleotides long. Lineage: Eukaryota; Metazoa; Chordata; Actinopteri; Siluriformes; Ictaluridae. The record is from the annotation of a GenBank genome assembly.